GUGAGGAAUAUUGGUCAAUGGGCGGAAGCCUGAACCAGCCAAGUCGCGUGAAGGAUGAAGGUAUUAUGUAUUGUAAACUUCUUUAGCAGUGGAGUAAUAAGGUGGUCGUGACCACUGAUGCAAGUACACUGAGAAUAAGGAUCGGCUAACUCCGUGCCAGCAGCCGCGGUAAUACGGAGGAUCCGAGCGUUAUCCGGAUUUAUUGGGUUUAAAGGGUGCGCAGGCGGCCUUUUAAGUCAGCGGUAAAAUCGUGGGGCUCAACCCCAUCCUGCCGUUGAUACUGGAGGGCUUGAUUGCGGUCGAGGUAGGCGGAAUUCGUCGUGUAGCGGUGAAAUGCAUAGAUAUGACGAAGAACACCGAUUGCGUAGGCAGCUUACCAGACCGCAAAUGACGCUCAGGCACGAAAGUGCGGGGAUCGAACAGG
RNAcentral lists this ribosomal RNA (424 nucleotides) under uncultured rumen bacterium. RNAcentral describes it as "bacterial SSU rRNA". It matches the Rfam family "Bacterial small subunit ribosomal RNA", at positions 354 to 776 of the family's 1533-position model. The record is from RNAcentral.